RNAcentral lists this long non-coding RNA (1632 nucleotides) under Anas platyrhynchos platyrhynchos (common mallard). RNAcentral's name for it is "lncRNA (ENSAPLG00000022084.1)". Lineage: Eukaryota; Metazoa; Chordata; Aves; Anseriformes; Anatidae. The record is from RNAcentral.
AUGGGUGCCACCCCGGCUUGCCCCCUGCGCCCUCCGUGUGCCCCACGUCCCCCUGCUUCAACCCCACAGCAGCCAGGGGCACCCUCGGGGCUCACCCCCAUGUGCCCUGCUGGGGAUCUGGGGAUCCGAAGGGACAAAAAAGAGGCUGGGGGGGACCCGUGCCAGCCCCCCAGGGGCGUUGGACCUCCCCACAUGUCACCGUCACCUCUCCAUCCCUGCCCCGUGCCCCCCUGGCUGGGAAGGGGCGCACGCAGCCAUGCAGCGGCUCUGUGCCCCCCCUGCACAAGGCAGGAGCCCCCCGGGGGGGUCCCCAUCCUGCUCAGCACCCCGGGGGAGGAGGCAGGGGGCAAGAUGUGGGGCAGACCCACAGCCACGGCUGCUUGGGGACCAUGCUGGGGACCCAGGGUGGCCAAGACGUCACCGAUGCGGGCCCAGCACCCUCGGGACCAAGGCCCUGGAGCACCUGGCCCCAAUCCGUGCUCCGUGGCCCCCUGCCAUGGUGACCCCACUCCUGCCCCAACGCUGCGGCUCGUGGGGACCCUUUUGAUGUCCCCUCUUUGUUUUCCCUUUCCCGAGCACCUCCAGGUGCCCGAGGUGGCGAAAGGUCACGGGCACGGGGCCAGGUUCCCCUUUGGCUGCCUCCGUCCCCGGAUGCUCCACCCUGGAGGGCAGCUUGAAGCCCUUGAGGAGGGUUUGCUUUGGCCCCAAAUCCCGCUCCGGGGCAGCAGAGAGGUCCCCGUGCCCUGGGGACAAGUGUCCUCAGGCCCUCUUGAGCUGCGGGUUCCCAGGGGAAAGCAGCUGUGGGCAGGGCGCUGGGCAAACACCGCCGGGAGCGGGCGGCACACCCGAGUGGCACCACGAGGCUGCUCGUGGGGGCCGCCCCUUUCCCCACCCCAAAACCCCCCAAAUAAAGCCACUGCCCCAGCUGCUGCGGGCUGCCCGGGCUGGGAGGAGGAAGAGGAAGAAGAGGAGGAGGAGGAGGCAGAGAUGGAGAGCAGCAUGAAGCAGGUGGCAGUCGAGGAGCCGCUGGACGCCGACAAGGGCUGCUGCGGUUCCUGCUGCCUGCCCUGCGCCCUUUGCUGCCCCAAAUGCUCGCGCUGCUGCCGCCCCGGCUGCUGCAGCCUCAAGGGCUGCCUGUGCUUCGUGCCUCGCCUGCUCUGCUACCUGCCCCGCAAGCUGCUCAGCAGCUGCCACCACCUCAAGUGCCUCCUCAUCGUGGUGGUGGUGGUGGUCCUGCUGGUGGUCAUCAUCGCCGGCGCCCUGCUGAUGUGGCUGCAGGUGGAGCGGGGCCACCCCGACGCCGUCCUGCGGUUGGGCGCGGGGAGGGCGUGGGAAGAGGACGCGGCCACUUUCUACGUGGAUGGCGGAGCUGGAAACCUGGCCACGGUGGUCUACGACUACAAAAACCUGCUGGUGAGCUACAGGUCGCGGCUGCACCACGCCUGCUACGUCACCCGCAUGGACAAGGACAACAUCCCGGGGCUGGAUGCGGCCACCCAGGCUUUCCAGCGCCGGCAGGCUGAGCAGAGGCUGGCCAUGCCCCUGGAUGACCGCUCCCUGCUGGGCACCACGGCGAGCAUCCUCUGCAGCAUCGUCCCCGUUUACUGGAUUUAGGGCAGGCUGGCCCCGACG